UUGCCGUCUUGGGAUCCCUCCUUUCUAAGGAUGAUCCUUCAGCGAGCUCACGCUCACUAUCGGAUCGUUUUAGAAACAUCAGUGGCCAACAGAUCGCCAGAUCGUGAGCUGCAUUGGCGGGAUUUCGCCGUCUUCGUUUCUCUUUCUUCGCGGACGAACACGCGCUGGGCCUGCAACGGCAGGAUCCAGGGUCCUUAACGGGAUGUGCGUUAGGGGCUUGUAGCUCAGUUGGUUAGAGCGCGCGCUUGAUAAGCGUGAGGUCGGAAGUUCAAGUCUUCCCAGGCCCACCACUUUCAUCGAGUGAGCAUUCGUCUUCUGGUUACGGGGCCAUAGCUCAGCUGGGAGAGCGCGUGCUUUGCAAGCAUGAGGUCGUCGGUUCGAUCCCGUCUGGCUCCACCAGAUGGUUUGAUCACCGAGAUCUUGACCGUCGUCCGCGAAACAUCACUUCGCUUCCUGCUAGUCUGGAUAGACAGCAGUUUGCGUGUUUUYUGACAUCGUAAAGAGGAGAUCGAUCCGAGUUGGGUCGUGCAGCAUAUCGUUGCGCGAGCCUUCAUUAUYUCCGGAUCAUUUCGGCGCUCGCUUCCAUCCGUGAGGUUGGAUGCGGGUUGUAAAUGAUCCUUUUAGCGAAGCUUGACCGCCUCGCUAUCGGAACGAUCUUACGAAGCAAGCUGGUCUUUCUAGUCAAUGUCCGGCUGCGGAUAGCGUUCAUCGAGGGCGCGUGCCGCAAGGCAAUUCUGCAGACAACAUUCUGCCGAGUGUGUGGACAUUGAUAAUGAGAGCAAUCAAGUGCCUUAAGGGUGUUCGGUGGAUGCCUUGGCGCUGAGAGGCGAUGAAGGGCGUGCUACCCUGCGUUCAGCCGUGGAAGCUCGAGCGCUCCCCCUGGGGUUUUUC
Molecule: unclassified non-coding RNA, 891 nt
Filed under: Bradyrhizobium sp.
Lineage: Bacteria; Pseudomonadati; Pseudomonadota; Alphaproteobacteria; Hyphomicrobiales; Nitrobacteraceae
Description: partial 16S-23S ribosomal RNA intergenic spacer
Rfam family: tRNA (bases 214-287)
Source: RNAcentral